UCCCUGGUAGCUGAGCUGGUAAAGAAUCAGCCUGAAAUGCGGGAGACCUGGGUUAGAUUCCUGGGUUGGGAA
RNAcentral lists this transfer RNA (72 nucleotides) under Ovis aries (sheep). It matches the Rfam family "tRNA". Rfam says of the family: Transfer RNA (tRNA) molecules are approximately 80 nucleotides in length. Their secondary structure includes four short double-helical elements and three loops (D, anti-codon, and T loops). Further hydrogen bonds mediate the characteristic L-shaped molecular structure. tRNAs have two regions of fundamental functional importance: the anti-codon, which is responsible for specific mRNA codon recognition, and the 3' end, to which the tRNAs corresponding amino acid is attached (by aminoacyl-tRNA synthetases). tRNAs cope with the degeneracy of the genetic code in two manners: having more than one tRNA (with a specific anti-codon) for a particular amino acid; and 'wobble' base-pairing, i.e. permitting non-standard base-pairing at the 3rd anti-codon position. The record is from Rfam by way of RNAcentral. Lineage: Eukaryota; Metazoa; Chordata; Mammalia; Artiodactyla; Bovidae.